CUCCACCAAGAGGACAGGUGAGCAGCUCCAUAGGCAGGAACUGUAUGGACCAGAAAAUUGGCCAGCUGUUUGCGCGUCCAAAGGCAAGUUAAGUGGCUACCUUCUCCUGGAACUUCAAAUCAAAUUACCUGAUCGGGUUUAAUACUUUUAAGUUCACCUGAGGAAGUCUUAAUCAUGAUCACACUGCACAGACUGCAGACUACUAUAAAAAAUAGAUGAUGCCCAGAGAUAGCAAUGCCCCUGUGGGGCCUCACUUCUGAUUCUCUGAGGAAAGCUGAGCAGUCUUCAGAGCCACAAGAUGAGACAAAGCUGCAGCUAUGAAGAGUGGGGCAGAAGCUUUGGCAUCUUUCCCUCCCACAAACUUUCAUUAGAGGUCAAGCAAACUAUUGAGGCCUGCUAUU
Molecule: long non-coding RNA, 401 nt
Organism: Lepidothrix coronata (blue-crowned manakin)
Lineage: Eukaryota; Metazoa; Chordata; Aves; Passeriformes; Pipridae
Exons: 3
Source: RefSeq, a predicted model, not a curated record